CACCACUGUCAGGCCUGACCUCAGGUGUUUUGUUAUAGUCCUUUAAUGCUGACCCACACAGGUAUGUGUGUGUGCUUCUAUGUGCCUCUAUCACGAACGACACUGUGUUUGGGGCCAGGGCGAUGAAUAAAUGCUCGUGUGUGUGCAAACUUGAGGGCCUGGGUUCGCACCCAGAUAAAACCAAGCAAAAUGGUAAAAUAUCCUGGCCUGAGAGACAGCGUACUUAUUUCCUCAGAUGUGAUGGUAUCUGCCCUGUGGCUUUCUGGGUGAAAGGGCAUGCGAGUUUGUGGUUUUGGAGACGUUGCUGAGUUGCUGAUAGGAGCAGCUAGUGUUGACAAAGCAAGCAAGGCCCUGGUUUCUACUCAGGUGCUCAAAGUUGGCACAAAAGGACUUUUCUCAAAUUUUUAAGGUUUCAGAUGCUGAUCUUUCCCCAAAAAGGUACAGGGGUUGAAAGAUACAGGAAAGAGAAAGAGAGGGAGGCAUGGGGAGAAAAGGUGGUGGCAGAAAUGGAGGGGGAAAGAGAAGGAGAAAAGACCAAGAACCUAGGAGUCACCGGUGACUCAUGGCUAUGAUCCUAGCACCCAGGGACUGAGACGGGAGGGGCCUGUGAAGUGGAUUCCAGUAGACUCAUUGCAUCUAGGCCAAACAUUAGAAUAAAAUAGUUCUUUUCCUUCUUUUUUUUUGAAAGUGUGAAGAGACAUUUAUUCAAGACUUCUGUAUUUCUCACAAUGCUUUAAACGUCUAAUAAAAUCCCGUCUAGCUUUCACAUGCUUAAAAUAGCUGUUUUCUAAAAGUACUUAGACCUUGAGGAAAUCAUGGUGGAAAACUGAUUGUUCUCUGUUAUUUAUAGAGUUGUUUUCCUGAAGGAGCUAGACAGCCUUGCCUUGACUUUAGUCACAAAAACGGGCUGGCAAGCCUGGAAUGUCUUGCACUAUUGGGUACUGCAAACAGUGCACAAGGUUUCAGGGGUGGUGGUUUUGGUGUGCGUGACGUUUUCCUUCAGAAAACAUGAAUCAGAUCAGGGCUUUUGUAUGAGGAACUUGUUCCCAAAAAGCAACUUUUGUGCAACAUCAAUACAUGUGCUUCUGCAUGGCUGUUGGAGUUCAUUGAGGCUGACAUCCCAGCUGACUCAGAGCCUGGGUUACGACCUGGAGUGACCCCUUUCUCAGAACACUGACAUGCCUGGACGAUGGGAGCUUGGCCGAUUGGUUAGUUGUGGAUUUCUGCAUCUGCUUCCAUCUGUUUCUGGAAGAGGGUUCUGGCUUCUCUGGGUUUGAGGAUUGUAGGCUGGAUAUCUUUUGCUUUAUUUCUGGCAUCCAAUUAUGAUCCUUCAAGGGAUGUUCCUGUAUGUGGCAGUCGGGGCUCAAGCCAGUUUAACUUCUCAACAGAGUCUACUUAACUCCCCAUGGAGCAGACCAGAUCUUGCCAUUCAUCCAUUCCUGCUUCCGGACCAGGUUCCUGCCUUGACUUCCGUUUUCGAUGGAUGGACCAUUACCCAGAAGCCUAAGAUAAAAUACACCUUCUCCGUCCCUUCUCCGUCCCGAGUUGCCUCCGGUCAUUGUGUUUUACCACAAUAGAAACCCGACUUCCACACCUGACUUUAAACCUCCAUUCUUUAUAAGUUAUCCAGUCUCAGGGAGUCUGUGAUAGCAAGAAAAAACAGUCUGACACAGGUUACUAAUGACUGUGCCAGAAAUGCCCUGUUGGGCCCUGCCGGGGGUUGUGAGUCUGAUUUCUGAGAACUGGGCUGCACUCACACUUGACUUGGUUGUGCUCUGUUGAAAUCCCGUGGGGCUUGCUGUUGUCCUGAACCUCAGUGCCUUGAGUUGGCGCAUUCCUGAUGACCAAGCUGCCAUCGGUGCGCUGUAUGUCUUGGCUGGUGUGAGGAUGUCCCAGAAGGCCCUAGGGAGAGAUCGUGGCUGGUGGCUGGGCUCCCGGCUCUCAGAAUCAAGAAGUGCUGAGAACUCCAUCUGGGGACAGGCAGGUGGGUGCCCGCUCCUUCCCUCCUUCUGUCUGCAUCUACUUAAAGGCAAUUGUGCAGGUGCAGGAGGUGAGCAGGCUACCUUCAAGGAGGCAGGAAGGAGGAGGGGACAGCAAGGAACAAGUGGGACCACAAGUGACAUGCUACCUACAAGUGUUACCUGCCCACAAAGGAACCCAAUGGUGCACGGGCUGGAGAAAGUGGUGCUGUUUUGGAGAGGCUAUGGAACCCUAGGACAGACAUUUUAUGUGUAUUUAUUUAUUU
This 2245-nucleotide long non-coding RNA is filed under the name Cricetulus griseus (Chinese hamster). RNAcentral's name for it is "lncRNA (ENSCGRG00015034445.1)". Lineage: Eukaryota; Metazoa; Chordata; Mammalia; Rodentia; Cricetidae. The record is from RNAcentral.